UCUCUUGAGUUUGACUGUAGCUGAUCGGACUGGAAGCCGUAUUUUCUUCAGGAUAUGGCC
This 60-nucleotide ribosomal RNA is filed under the name Yarrowia lipolytica CLIB122. Its description in RNAcentral is "rRNA YALI0_E25520r". Lineage: Eukaryota; Fungi; Ascomycota; Dipodascomycetes; Dipodascales. The record is from RNAcentral.